RNAcentral lists this ribosomal RNA (440 nucleotides) under Fusarium sp. HMA-16. RNAcentral describes it as "eukaryotic LSU rRNA". It matches the Rfam family "Eukaryotic large subunit ribosomal RNA", at positions 1 to 431 of the family's 3401-position model. The record is from RNAcentral. Lineage: Eukaryota; Fungi; Ascomycota; Sordariomycetes; Hypocreales; Nectriaceae.
AACUUCUGAAUGUUGACCUCGGAUCAGGUAGGAAUACCCGCUGAACUUAAGCAUAUCAAUAAGCGGAGGAAAAGAAACCAACAGGGAUUGCCCUAGUAACGGCGAGUGAAGCGGCAACAGCUCAAAUUUGAAAUCUGGCUUUCGGGCCCGAGUUGUAAUUUGUAGAGGAUACUUUUGAUGCGGUGCCUUCCGAGUUCCCUGGAACGGGACGCCAUAGAGGGUGAGAGCCCCGUCUGGUUGGAUGCCAAAUCUCUGUAAAGUUCCUUCGACGAGUCGAGUAGUUUGGGAAUGCUGCUCUAAAUGGGAGGUAUAUGUCUUCUAAAGCUAAAUAUUGGCCAGAGACCGAUAGCGCACAAGUAGAGUGAUCGAAAGAUGAAAAGCACUUUGAAAAGAGAGUUAAAAAGUACGUGAAAUUGUUGAAAGGGAAGCGUUUAUGACCA